RNAcentral lists this ribosomal RNA (254 nucleotides) under uncultured bacterium. Its description in RNAcentral is "partial 16S ribosomal RNA". It matches the Rfam family "Bacterial small subunit ribosomal RNA", at positions 524 to 776 of the family's 1533-position model. The record is from RNAcentral.
GACGAACCGUGCGAACGUUGUUCGGAAUCACUGGGCUUAAAGGGCGCGUAGGCGGGCUGCCAAGUCCGUAGGUGAAAUCCCCCGGCUCAACCGGGGAACGGCCUCGGAUACUGGCGGCCUGGAGGGGGGUAGGGGCGUGCGGAACUGUGCGUGGAGCGGUGAAAUGGGUUGAUAUGCACAGGAACUCCGGUGGCGAAGGCGGCGAGCUGGACCCUUUCUGACGCUGAGGCGCGAAAGCCAGGGGAGCGAACGGG